Molecule: ribosomal RNA, 465 nt
Filed under: Vreelandella stevensii
Lineage: Bacteria; Pseudomonadati; Pseudomonadota; Gammaproteobacteria; Oceanospirillales; Halomonadaceae
Description: partial 16S ribosomal RNA
Rfam family: Bacterial small subunit ribosomal RNA
Source: RNAcentral
CCUACGGGGUGCUGCAGUGGGGAAUAUUGGACAAUGGGCGAAAGCCUGAUCCAGCCAUGCCGCGUGUGUGAAGAAGGCCUUCGGGUUGUAAAGCACUUUCAGUGGGGAAGAAAGCCUUGGGGCUAAUACCCUCGAGGAAGGACAUCACCCACAGAAGAAGCACCGGCUAACUCCGUGCCAGCAGCCGCGGUAAUACGGAGGGUGCGAGCGUUAAUCGGAAUUACUGGGCGUAAAGCGCGCGUAGGCGGUCUGAUAAGCCGGUUGUGAAAGCCCCGGGCUCAACCUGGGAACGGCAUCCGGAACUGUCAGGCUAGAGUGCAGGAGAGGAAGGUAGAAUUCCCGGUGUAGCGGUGAAAUGCGUAGAGAUCGGGAGGAAUACCAGUGGAGAAGGCGGCCUUCUGGACUGACACUGACGCUGAGGUGCGAAAGCGUGGGUAGCAAACAGGAUUAGAUACCCCAGUAGUC